CACUAAACAUACCUAUCCAGGAAAGAGUUAACUUUUCCUGGUGGCUAUUUUGACGUCAUUUUGCGUUAUCUUUAUAGUGCCAUAAUUUAAAAUUUCAAAGGGUUUCUUAAAUUUUGUCCAGACUAUGUGUCUGGCAAAUCUGCUAUAAUUUCUGAUAUGGCAGAUCAUGAACUAAGUUUACCCUUUUCCAUACAAUGGUACCUUA
This is a non-coding RNA of Pelobates cultripes (western spadefoot toad), 205 nucleotides long. Lineage: Eukaryota; Metazoa; Chordata; Amphibia; Anura; Pelobatidae. The record is from the annotation of a GenBank genome assembly.